RNAcentral lists this ribosomal RNA (429 nucleotides) under Actinomycetes bacterium. RNAcentral describes it as "Actinobacteria bacterium partial 16S ribosomal RNA". It matches the Rfam family "Bacterial small subunit ribosomal RNA", at positions 355 to 776 of the family's 1533-position model. Lineage: Bacteria; Bacillati; Actinomycetota; Actinomycetes. The record is from RNAcentral.
UAGGGAAUCUUCCGCAAUGGGCGAAAGCCUGACGGAGCAACGCCGCGUGAGUGAUGAAGGUCUUCGGAUCGUAAAACUCUGUCAUUAGGGAAGAACACAUGUGCAAGAAACUAUGCACGUCCUGACGGUACCUAAUCAGAAAGCCACGGCUAACUACGUGCCAGCAGCCGCGGUAAUACGUAGGUGGCAAGCGUUAUCCGGAAUUACUGGGCGUAAAGCGCGCGUAGGCGGUUUUUUAAGUCGGAUGUGAAAGCCCACGGCUCAACCGUGGAGGGUCCUUGGAAACUGGAAAGCUUGAGUGCAGAAGAGGAAAGUGGAAUUCCAUGUGUAGCAGUGAAAUGCGCAGAGAUAUGGAGGAACACCAGUGGCGAAGGCGGCUGUCUGGUCUGUAACUGACGCUGAUGUGCGAAGGCGUGGGGAGCAAACAGG